GGUGUUUUCCUACUUUUGGCACAUUUCUCCUAAAUUUGGAAAGUGAAGGAAAGCCGGUGGAAGUGUUGCUCUCAGCUAAACCAAUCAUACGGGUAAAGUCGUCUGUUUAAAAUGCCUGUGGUAUCAAAGUGAAGGAUCAGCUGGCAGACAUGUAAGAAAGUGAUCGACUGACCAGUCCACCUAAAGAUGAAACAAAGCUGCCAAUGAAGUGACUUAUCAGAGACAGAAGCAGGUAGGACAACCUAGGACC
Trichomycterus rosablanca is the source of this 250-nucleotide long non-coding RNA. RefSeq lists it as uncharacterized. Lineage: Eukaryota; Metazoa; Chordata; Actinopteri; Siluriformes; Trichomycteridae. The record is from RefSeq and is a predicted model, not a curated record. The transcript is spliced from 4 exons.